GAUGAACGCUGGCGGCGUGCCUAAUACAUGCAAGUCGAGCGAACAGACGAGGAGCUUGCUCCUCUGACGUUAGCGGCGGACGGGUGAGUAACACGUGGAUAACCUACCUAUAAGACUGGGAUAACUUCGGGAAACCGGCGCUAAUACCGUAUAAUAUCUUGAACCGCAUGGUUCAAUAGUGAAAGACGGUUUUGCUGUCACUUAUAGAUGGAUCCGCGCCGCAUUAGCUAGUUGGGAAGGUAACGGCUUACCAAGGCAACGAUGCGUAGCCGACCUGAGAGGGUGAUCGGCCACACUGGAACUGAGACACGGUCCAGACUCCUACGGGAGGCAGCAGUAGGGAAUCGUCCGCAAUGGGCGAAAGCUUGACGGAGCAACGCCGCGUGAGUGAUGAAGGUCUUCGGAUCGUAAAACUCUGUUAUUAGGGAAGAACAAAUGUGUAAGUAAAUAUGCACGUCUUGACGGUAACUAAUCAGAAAGCCACGGCUAACUACGUG
This 497-nucleotide ribosomal RNA is filed under the name uncultured bacterium. RNAcentral's name for it is "partial 16S ribosomal RNA". It matches the Rfam family "Bacterial small subunit ribosomal RNA", at positions 28 to 507 of the family's 1533-position model. The record is from RNAcentral.